GACACAGAAUCCCCUAGUAGCGGGAGUGACCGGGAAAGAGCUCAAUUUGAAAUCUGGCGUGCUCAGUGCCUCAGAUUUGUUUCUAUAGAGUCUUUUUCCGUGCCGGACUGUGUCCAAUUCCCUUGGAACAGGGUAUCAAAGAGGGUGAUAAUCCCGUACUUGACACAAUGACCGGUGCUCUGUGAUACUUCUUCUACAAGUCGAGUUGUUUGGGAAUGCAGCUCAAAGGGGGUGGUUAGGCCUCAGGUCAUCCGAGUUGUAAUCUAUAGAAGUGUUUUCCGUGCUGGCUCAUGUACAAGUCCCUUGGAACAGGGCGUCAUAGAGGGUGAGAAUCCCGUCCUUGACAUGAACUACCAGUGCUCUGUGAUACAUUUUCAACGAGUCGAGUUGUUUGGGAAUGCAGCUCAAAAUGGGUGGUAAAUUCCAUCUAAAGCUAAAUAUUGGCGAGAGACCGAUAGCGAACAAGUACCGUGAGGGAAAGAUGAAAAGCACUUUGGAAAGAGACUUCCAUCUAAAGCUAAAUAUUGACGAGAGACCGAUAGCCAACAACUCCGUGAGGGAAAGAUGAAAAGCUCUUUAGAAAGAGAAAUAACAGUACAAGAAAUUGAAAAAAAGGAAACUAUUGAAAUCGUCGUGACUGAGAGGCUCAGCCCGUUCUGCCGGUGUAUUCCCCUCAGUCAGGUCAACAUCAGUUUUGUUCGGUGGAUAAGGGCAGUUGGAAGGGGCACCCUCCGGAGUGUUAUAGCCAGCUGUCGCAUACAUCGGAUGAGACUGAGGAAUGCAGCUCGCCUUUAUGGACGGGGUUCCCCACGUUCGAGCUUACGAUGGUCAAUAAUGGCUAUAACGACCCGUCUUGAACACAGACCAAAAUUUUUUGUUUUUUUUUGUUUUAAUUUGUGUUAUUAUUUUUAUAUA
Molecule: ribosomal RNA, 915 nt
Filed under: Filobasidium stepposum
Lineage: Eukaryota; Fungi; Basidiomycota; Tremellomycetes; Filobasidiales; Filobasidiaceae
Description: LSU rRNA
Rfam family: Eukaryotic large subunit ribosomal RNA
Source: RNAcentral